GACGAACGCUGGCGGCGUGCCUAAUACAUGCAAGUCGAGCGCUGAAGUUUGGUACUUGUUCCUCUUGGGUUAGCAGCGAACGGGUGAGUAACGCGUGGAGAAUCUACCUUUAAGCGUGGGACAACUUCUGGAAACGAAUGCUAAUACCGCAUAAUAUCUUUAACCACAUGUUUCAAUUUUGAAAGAUGCAAUUGCAUCACCCAAUGGUGAUCUCGCGUUGUCUUAGCUAAUUGGGUAGGUAAAGGCUUAACCAGGGCAUGAUACAUAAGCGACCCGAGGAGGGGAUCGGGCACAAUGGGAAGGAGACAAGGCCCAAACUACUACGGGAGGCAGCAGUAGGGAAUCUUCGGCAAUGGACGAAAGGCUGACCGAGCAAAACCGCGUGAGUGAAGGAGGUUUUCGGAUCGUAAAACUCUGGUGGUAGAGAAGAACGUUGGUGGGAGUGGAAAGCGCAUCAAGUGACGGUAACUAACCAGAAAGGGACGGCUAACUACGUG
This 497-nucleotide ribosomal RNA is filed under the name uncultured bacterium. RNAcentral's name for it is "partial 16S ribosomal RNA". It matches the Rfam family "Bacterial small subunit ribosomal RNA", at positions 28 to 507 of the family's 1533-position model. The record is from RNAcentral.